This is a long non-coding RNA of Equus asinus (donkey), 1733 nucleotides long. Lineage: Eukaryota; Metazoa; Chordata; Mammalia; Perissodactyla; Equidae. The record is from Ensembl.
AGAGUACGUGAGCAUCUCUCAUUCACAUAUGGAAGGCUGUUAGGGCAUAAAUGCAGUCAGCACCAGGGAGCCAGCAGACACUGGAAUUGCUAGGGAGUAAAAAUAGUUUCUGUUAUUAAGGUCUGUGGAGCUCCUUGGGCUGGGCUCCCAUUCCCAUAAGACAUGCCCAUAGAGAUAGGCACACCUGCCUUCAAAAGUGCCAGCGACACAGAGCUCCAAGAAGUGAAGGGAAUUGAGACAAUUAGAUAAACAGCACGAGAAAGAACAAAAUUUCAAGGGAGGUUUGUUGCCCGAGGUGACUGUUCCAAUUUCCUGGCACUGCAGGAAGACAGCAAUGUCCCAGAUGAUACUUUUCAAGAGAGGAAAUAAAAGUAAAGGUGCUAGCGGAGCUGAGACUGUGAACGUCAAUCAGCAGGACGCAUAGCUGAGCCCCCAGGAUCCCUGACACCAGCAUAAUUUACAGGCAAGAUUCUGCAGCUGUCAGAAUAUCUGGUGCUUGAAGCGGCGUUCCAUGACUUUUCGCUGAUUGGCAAGUCUCCUCAAGAUGCCUUGGGAUUUUGUUACCAUCUGGCAUUGUUCCAUAUCCCUUGUCUUCUGAGUGUUUUAUGAUGAUUAACUGGUUAAACUUCAGAAAAGCUGCGUAGGGUAGACAGGGGCAAGAGGCAAUCGCUUCCUUUCAAGCUCGAGAUGAGGAACUGCUCAUGCAUUGGGAUGGUAGAUGACUCAUACAAGAGCAUAAUGUCACAGAUUCUCGUACGAGAUCAUAGGUUUAUUUAUUAGUUGAUAUUAUUGAACAAUUUUGUGUGCUGGGAACCAAGCUAAAUACUGCGCUUAGAGGAAUAAGACGAAAGACUGCCCUUGUGGAGGUCCCAGACUUAUAGAGGAGAAACAUAUACGCGCAAAAUGUUGGAGGAGAGAAGCAUAUAAAAAGCACAGUAAAAAUACCUGGCAGCUUGCAAGACAGGAUUCAAGGAGGCAACAUCUGUCUUUAGUUUUCAAACAUGAGUGUGAAUUUUCCCUAAUGCAUGUUUGUGUAAGAUAGGAAAGGGAGGAGGAGAAGCAAUUUCUGGGGUCUAGAAUGUUUAGGAAACACUGUGCAAAAAAGCACAGAGACAUAACGUAGCACUUGUUCACGUCUGUACAUUCCUUGGACCAAAAAGUGGGCUUUGUAGCUGGGGCUAACAAUUAUGAUUUGAAUUUUCGGAACCAUGAGAGCUAGACUGGAGUCAUCUUAAAGCAUUUAAGGAAUGAGAUAGGUCAAUAAAUAAAUAUGGCAAUUUACUAAAAAUGGUUAUGUCACCUCUAAAAGACAUAAGGAACUUUUAACUGAAAAACUUAUCCUGAACAAAGAGAAAAAUGAAUUGAGAAAACUCACUGCUAAGAGGCAAAGAACCAGAGCGUCUAGAGUUGGACCAUAUUAGGCUUCUGCUGUUUAGGCAAAACUGUGUGGGGAAAGUCCUUUGAACAGCUAAAGAUUAAAAGUGAAAUUGGAGAUGACCGAGUACUCCUCAAUCCUUGGCUCCUUUCUGCAAGCACGCUCAACUUGCUCUGGCCUAGAGACAAUCAAACCUACAACUCAAAUCUAGUCCUUAUUUGUAGCAGAUUAACUUUGUACUUUCACCGCUCAAUUCCUAAUCUCAGUAUUCUAUGCCUUCUUCCUCUACUCAUUUUUGCCUUAACCCAUUAUUAAUCGAACCAGUUUCCCAUCUCCAUAUUUCUGCUCCCUGUCCCCA